This 139-nucleotide unclassified non-coding RNA is filed under the name uncultured fungus. RNAcentral describes it as "sequence contains ITS2". Lineage: Eukaryota; Fungi. The record is from RNAcentral.
AAAGCCAUCAAGCCUGGCUUGGUCUUGGGCGCGGUCUCAGGACCCGCCCGCAACCCGUCGGCGGUGCCGGCCCGGCCCUGAGCGUAGCAAGACUCUCGCUCGGGGGCCGCGGCGGCGCCAGCCGAGAGCACACCUCAAG